GCAAGCUAUGUGCUUCUGCAUCCCCCUGCUCUUCCCUUCUCCUUUCUUUUCUUCUUCUCUGAGCCACCCAACAGCCAUCAGCUUCUCCGUUUCAACUUCCAUCUUCUUCACCAUCAUCAUCAUCCAUCCCUGUUUCAGCCUCCAGUCAGCGACCUCCCUUUUCUCUUCAUCUUCUUUCCCUUGCCCAACCCUCUUCUCCUCUCUCCGCGUUGCAGAACCACAGCCUCCGCCAACCAUCACCGCCGGCGAUAAUCCACCUUCGCCGCGCCCCUUUCUCUUCUUCCCCUCUUCUCACCUCCGCUGAGCCAGAAAACCACAGCGCCAGCUCCUCCUCUCCGCCAAAGCCCAGAGCAGCAGCGGCCACCUUCUCCAUUCCUGGGUCUCCUCUCGUCUGCCACCAAACAGUCGUGACACCCAACCUUCGUUGCCGCGUCCUUACCGGCGUUCCCGCCCGUCACCACCACUCCCUGUCCGAACCCUAACUCCACCCACCGUCAUAAAACCACCGUAGCCUCCACCAUCGAUGAGCCACCGCAACCCUCACCUCCUCUCUUCGUUCCCCAAAACCACCGCACCCAGCUCCCCUGUAUCCUUUCCGUCGCCAUCAGGUCCAGAGACUACAGGGUCUUCUUCUUCGCGAACCUUCUUCCGACAUGGCCCCUGUCGCUCUCGUUCUUUCUGGGUUGAAGAAUAGAGCAAGUGCAAGCUCUUGUUUCUUCGUCUCAAGCGAGUUCCAGCUGCUGCGACAUAUCCCCUGUUUCUUUGCUGCGCCCCUCCUCCGCUGCUGCCAUUGGAGCAGCUCCACCACCAUCUCACCACCAGGCCAGCUGAGUUGCUCCGGCCGUUCACUCACCAUCAUCAACCUUCUUCUUCCCCUUCCCUUCCUCUGUUCCAAUUCUGCUUCCCAGCACUACCAUCACUCUUGCAGCCACUCUAUCGCCUAACCCACCAGCUGAAGGUGGAGGUGACACAGUGAUGACUCCUUCCACUCCGCAUGAUCAUGAGCACCGAGGACGGUGCUAUAUCUUAAAUGUGGGGAGGUUGUCCAUCUUCAACAAGCAUUUUGGGUGACAAUCUUCAUUUCCGAACACUUUUAGUGUAGUUUCUUUUUAUGUUUUUUUGGUACUUUGUAUAUAUUUUAUCCUUUUGAGGAACCUUUUACUUAGUUUAUUGCACUUUCUUAGUUUAUUGCACUUUUUAAUUUUGUUUAUACAUAACCUAGUAUUAUAUUGUAGUGAUGCAUAUUUUUACAUCUUUUAAUUUUGGCUUUUACAUAUGCUUUUUAGUUUUAGUUAUGAUUGUGAUUUGGAUGAUGUGAUGAUUGCACCUAGUUUGGUUUCCUAUAUACUUGCUAUCUUGGUUUUGAUUGAAAUUGGGAAUUAAACUUAGGAUUUUUGACCUUUUUCAUCUAAUCACACUAUAUACAUAUAUAGAAUAAGUGUUAGUCAAUUAAUGAAAUUUCCAAGAAGCUUAUCUUUUGUAUAUAGGGUAUUGAAAAUUCGAAUUGAAGUGAGUUGAAAUUCUUUGAAACUUGCAUGAUUUAUAUAUUGUGGAAUAUGAUUUUUGAGUUAAAGAACAUACAACUUGUGAGUUUUUGAGCCUUAUUGUGUGGUUACAUCAUUGGACCACUUAUUUCAUUAUUGUGUGUUGCUCUUCUCUACGAUUGCAAUCUUUGGUUUGUUUAAGUCUGUAUAUUCAUUGUUUAAUGUAUUUUUAUGCAUUUAUGUGAUUGAGGCCAUUAUUUUUUUAUAGCUCACUUAUCCCAAAUAGCCUACCAUUGCAUUUACCCGUGUUUGCCACUUUGAGCCUUUUUAAUCCCUUUUUGUUAUUGAUUGAGCACACCACUAACUAUAAGCGAAAAAAAACAAUGAAUGUCCCUAUUUUGAAUCUUUGAAUAGCUUAAGUUAGUGAAAGUGUGUAAUGUUUAAGUGUGGAAAAAAUGUGGGAACUUUGGGUGAUGAAAAUGUGUUUUAUGCUUAUUGAAAAAUGUUGAAAAUUUGGGUACAUGCUCAUGUAAUAUUAUAGAAACCAUAUGCAUUGAUGAGUUGGUAUAUAUAUUAUGUUCUUGAAAAAAAAAAAAGAGAAAUAAUGAAAAGGGGACAAAAUUACCCCAAUGAGAAAUUCAAUAAUAAUCAAUGCAUAUGUGAUUUAAUUGAAUUUAAUGCAUGAGUGUGUGUAUGGAUGUAAAAGUGAGAUUAUGGGUAGCUAAGCUUGAUAUUAAGGUUGUAUAGAUUGUGUAUGUGUUAGGUGAGAACUUAGGUUAAUCAAAGAUUCAAAUGUAAACCCACCUAGCUAUAUAUACAUCCUUACCUUUAUCCUUAGCCCCAUUACAACUUUAAAAAGACUUUAUGAUUUUUGCAUAUGUACAUUAAAUACUUGUUGAUUGGUUAGAUGAAGAACAAACCUUAAAAAGCAUGAUUGGAGAAGAAUUGAGUGGAUUGACUCUAAACACUUGAGUGACUAGAGUGCAUACACAUAUCCAGUGAGGGUUCAAUCACUCAAUUGCAUAUUUCCACCUAUGAUCAUUGCUUAUCUUGCAAGUUUGGUUAAAUUUUUUUAUAUGACUCAAUUCAAUUGUGAAUAGGAUUUGGUUAUAAUUGCUUUAGCCCUUGAUUGUGUAUAGAUGCUUUCUUAGAAAUUGAUUUAAUUAGACUAAUUAAAUAUAUAUAUAUAUAGUUAGAUAGUAUAGUUACAUACAUAUACGUAGAUUGUAUAUAGUUAGUUAUAUUGAAUAAUUGUUGAUUCCCCUUCUUGUCUUCCUUUGGUAUAGCAUGAGGACAUGCUAUUGUUUAAGUGUGGGGAUGUGAUGAAUCUACAUUUUACGAUAUUUAUUUGCUUUAAUUAGGUGGAUUUCAUUGACUUUUCUUGCAUUUAUUCAUUGAAAUAGCAUAAUUUCAUAAUUUCUCCUUAAAUUGUGCUUGGAAGUAAAAACAUGCUUUUUAAGCUUUAUAAUUGCUCAAUUUUAUUCUCUUUAAUUUCAUUUGAUGCUUUGAUGUGUUUGUUUAGUAAUUUCAGGCUUACAAGACAAGUAUGGAUUGAAGAAGUGGAAGGAAAGCAUGCAAAAUGGGAGAAUUCAAGAAAUGAAGGAUUUGUAAAGCUGCCAGUCCUAACCUCUCUGUACUAAAUUGGUCAUAACUUGAGUUACAGAGGUCUAAAUGAGGCGGUUUCAGCGGCAUUGGAAAGCUAACGUUUGGGGCUUCAAAAUGAUGUAUAAUUUGCUAUAGUGAACAUAAGUUUAAGUGUGCGUACACACAAUUUAUGCAUACGCGCAAGUCAGGAUUUAGCAAGUGUGCGUACGCACACACCUGUGCGUACGCACAACUCUUGGCAUGUGAGCUCAUUAAUUGCAAAUUGUUGGGGGCGAAUUCUAGGCCCCCAAAACCCAAUCCAACUUAUUUCUGAAGCUAUUUCAAGCCAAAUUGAAGAGGGAUGAAGGGGGGAUCACUUAGAUUUAGGUUUUUACAUGUUUUAGUUUAGUUUUUCUAGAGAGAGAAGCUCCCCCUUCUCUCUAGAAUUAGGGUUUUUACCUUUAUUCUCUCUUUAAUUUCUCUCUUUAAUUCUUGUUUUAUUGUAAUUUCAUUUACAUUUUCAUAUUCUAUUGCCUUUAAUCUCUUAGUUUUCUUUGUUAAUUUCACUUUCAUGCCACUUUAGUUUUGUGAACACUCUUGUUACUUUUAAUUUCAUUUAAUGUAAUUUUGAUGUUUUAUGUUCUUUAA
Long non-coding RNA from Arachis duranensis, 3716 nucleotides. RefSeq lists it as uncharacterized. Lineage: Eukaryota; Viridiplantae; Streptophyta; Magnoliopsida; Fabales; Fabaceae. The record is from RefSeq and is a predicted model, not a curated record. The transcript has 2 exons.